Molecule: ribosomal RNA, 253 nt
Filed under: uncultured bacterium
Lineage: Bacteria
Description: partial 16S ribosomal RNA
Rfam family: Bacterial small subunit ribosomal RNA
Source: RNAcentral
UACAGAGGGGGCGAGCGUUAUUCGGAAUUACUGGGCGUAAAGCGUGCGCAGGCGGUUCGGAAAGAAAGAUGUGAAAUCCCAGGGCUCAACCUUGGAACUGCAUUUUUAACUCCCGGACUAGAGUAUGUCAGAGGGGGGUGGAAUUCCACGUGUAGCAGUGAAAUGCGUAGAGAUGUGGAGGAACACCGAUGGCGAAGGCAGCCCCCUGGGAUAAUACUGACGCUCAGGCACGAAAGCGUGGGUAGCAAACAGG